This 427-nucleotide ribosomal RNA is filed under the name uncultured bacterium. RNAcentral describes it as "partial 16S ribosomal RNA". It matches the Rfam family "Bacterial small subunit ribosomal RNA", at positions 355 to 774 of the family's 1533-position model. The record is from RNAcentral.
UGGGGAAUAUUGCACAAUGGGCGCAAGCCUGAUGCAGCCAUGCCGCGUGUAUGAAGAAGGCCUUCGGGUUGUAAAGUACUUUCAGCGGGGAGGAAGGUGUUGAGGUUAAUAACCUCAGCAAUUGACGUUACCCGCAGAAGAAGCACCGGCUAACUCCGUGCCAGCAGCCGCGGUAAUACGGAGGGGGCAAGCGUUAAUCGGACUUACUGGGCGUAAAGCGCACGCAGGCGGUCUGUCAAGUCGGAUGUGAAAUCCCCGGGCUCAACCUGGGAACUGCAUUCGAAACUGGCAGGCUAGAGUCUUGUAGAGGGGGGUAGAAUUCCAGGUGUAGCGGUGAAAUGCGUAGAGAUCUGGAGGAAUACCGGUGGCGAAGGCGGCCCCCUGGACAAAGACUGACGCUCAGGUGCGAAAGCGUGGGGAGCAAACA